AUUCUACUCCCUCCGUUGCACAAUACUACAUGCCUUCUAUUUGUCAAAAUAUAUAUGUAUCUAGACAUGUUUUAUUAUAUAGGUACAUCCAUUUUUGGACAAAUGGAAGUCAAGUAUUUUGGAACGGAGGGAGUACACA
Molecule: non-coding RNA, 139 nt
Organism: Triticum urartu
Lineage: Eukaryota; Viridiplantae; Streptophyta; Magnoliopsida; Poales; Poaceae
Source: Rfam